This 403-nucleotide ribosomal RNA is filed under the name Verrucomicrobiota bacterium. RNAcentral's name for it is "Verrucomicrobia bacterium partial 16S ribosomal RNA". It matches the Rfam family "Bacterial small subunit ribosomal RNA", at positions 355 to 776 of the family's 1533-position model. The record is from RNAcentral. Lineage: Bacteria; Pseudomonadati; Verrucomicrobiota.
UGGGGAAUAUUGCACAAUGGGCGCAAGCCUGAUGCAGCAACGCCGCGUGAACGAUGAAGGUCUUCGGAUCGUAAAGUUCUGUUGCAGGGGAAGAUAAUGACGGUACCCUGUGAGGAAGCCCCGGCUAACUACGUGCCAGCAGCCGCGGUAAUACGUAGGGGGCUAGCGUUAUCCGGAUUUACUGGGCGUAAAGGGUGCGUAGGUGGUCUUUCAAGUCGGUGGUUAAAGGCUACGGCUCAACCGUAGUUAGCCUCCGAAACUGGAAGACUUGAGUGCAGGAGAGGAAAGUGGAAUUCCCAGUGUAGCGGUGAAAUGCGUAGAUAUCAUGAAGAACUCCGAUUGCGAAGGCAGCUUACGGGAGCGCAACUGACGCUGAAGCUCGAAGGUGCGGGUAUCGAACAGG